GGGUAGCCGGCCUGAGAGGGUGACCGGCCACACUGGGACUGAGACACGGCCCAGACUCCUACGGGAGGCAGCAGUGGGGAAUAUUGCGCAAUGGGCGGAAGCCUGACGCAGCGACGCCGCGUGGGGGAUGACGGCCUUCGGGUUGUAAACCUCUUUCAGCAGGGACGAAGCCGGAAGGUGACGGUACCUGCAGAAGAAGCACCGGCCAACUACGUGCCAGCAGCCGCGGUAAUACGUAGGGUGCAAGCGUUGUCCGGAAUUAUUGGGCGUAAAGAGCUCGUAGGCGGUUUGUUGCGUCGGCUGUGAAAACCUGAGGCUCAACCUCAGGCCUGCAGUCGAUACGAGCAAACUAGAGUGUUGCAGGGGAGACUGGAAUUCCUGGUGUAGCGGUGAAAUGCGCAGAUAUCAGAGGAACACCGGUGGCGAAGCGGGUCUCUGGGCAGCAACUGACGCUGAGGAGCGAAAGCGUGGGGAGCGAACAGAUAAAUACCUGGUAGUCCACGCCGUAAACGUUGGGCGCUAGGGGGGGGGCAUUCCCCGUUUUCCGUGCCGCAGUUACGCAUUAAGCGCCCCGCUUGGGAGUACGGCCGCCAAGGCUAAACUCAAGGAAUUGACGGGGCCCGCACAAGCGGCGGAGCAUGUUUGCUUAAUUCGAUGCAACGCGAAGAACCUUACCUAGGCUUGACAUGCACGGAAAAGCGGCAGAGAUGUCGUGUCCUUUUAGGGUCGUGCACAGGUGGUGCAUGGUUGUCGUCAGCUCGUGUCGUGAGAUGUUGGGUUAAGUCCCGCAACGAGCGCAACCCUCGUUCCAUGUUGCCAGCACGUGAUGGUGGGGACUCAUGGGAGACUGCCGGGGUCAACUCGGAGGAAGGUGGGGAUGACGUCAAAUCAUCAUGCCCCUUAUGUCUAGGGCUGCAAACAUGCUACAAUGGCCGGUACAAAGGGCUGCGAUACCGCGAGGUGGAGCGAAUCCCAAAAAGCCGGUCUCAGUUCGGAUUGGGGUCUGCAACUCGACCCCAUGAAGUUGG
Molecule: ribosomal RNA, 1028 nt
Filed under: uncultured Actinomycetes bacterium
Lineage: Bacteria; Bacillati; Actinomycetota; Actinomycetes
Description: bacterial SSU rRNA
Rfam family: Bacterial small subunit ribosomal RNA
Source: RNAcentral